AGAAAUUCCAAUCGAACCUGGAGAUAGCUGGUUCUCUCCGAAAUAGCUUUAGGGCUAGCCUCAAGUGAUGAUUAUUGGAGGUAGAGCACUGUUUGGACGAGGGGCCCCUCUCGGGUUACCGAAUUCAGACAAACUCCGAAUGCCAAUUAAUUUAACUUGGGAGUCAGAACAUGGGUGAUAAGGUCCGUGUUCGAAAGGGAAACAGCCCAGACCACCAGCUAAGGUCCCAAAAUAUAUGUUAAGUGGAAAAGGAUGUGGCGUUGCCCAGACAACUAGGAUGUUGGCUUAGAAGCAGCCAUCAUUUAAAGAGUGCGUAAUAGCUCACUAGUCGAGUGACACUGCGCCGAAAAUGUACCGGGGCU
Molecule: ribosomal RNA, 362 nt
Filed under: Staphylococcus aureus
Lineage: Bacteria; Bacillati; Bacillota; Bacilli; Caryophanales; Staphylococcaceae
Description: partial 23S ribosomal RNA
Rfam family: Bacterial large subunit ribosomal RNA
Source: RNAcentral